CCCCUAGAUGUUCUGGGCCGCACGCGCGCUACACUGAACAGUUCAACAAGUCUUAACCUUGGCCGAUAGGUCUGGGUAAUCUUUGAACGCUGUUCGUGAUUGGGAUAGACCUUUGCAAUUAUGGGUCUUCAACGAGGAAUUCCUAGUAAACGCAAGUCAUCAGCUUGCAUUGAUUACGUCCCUGCCCUUUGUACACACCGCCCGUCGCUCCUACCGAUUGAGUGUGUUGGUGAGGAGUUCGGAUUGGCAGCAGGUGGUGGUUCGCCACUGCCUAUUGCUGAGAAGUUCUCCAAACCGCCCCACUUAGAGGAAGGAGAANUCGUAACA
Molecule: ribosomal RNA, 327 nt
Filed under: uncultured eukaryote
Lineage: Eukaryota
Description: partial 18S ribosomal RNA
Rfam family: Eukaryotic small subunit ribosomal RNA
Source: RNAcentral